CAGAUGCGGCCCCAGCUUCCCCGGAGCUGGGAACAGGAGGUGCAAGCCUGGUGUGUGUCCAUGUCCUUCUCCUCCCGAGUCCCAGGAGUGCACCUAAAGUCCUCCAGCUUCAGAGGCCAGCUUUGCCCAAGAACCUUCGAAUGUACUGGCAAGUCCAGCCUGUACGGUCCUCCGUCCCCCGCCGGGUUGUCUGGCCGGUGUAUGUUAGUCCCCCGCAUCUCAUCCUGGUGUCACCUCUGUGAGGCAGGACUGGGUGAACUUUCUUCUGCUACUUACUGUGCCAUUACUUGAACAUCUUAAUAGAUGCCAUUGAAAAACAAAACAUUUCCAGGUCUCUCCCCGAGUGGAGUUUUUGCCUCUGCAGUGGCCAGCCUCAGGAGGGUACUCUAGUAGUGGAAUGAAGGAAUGAAUAAAUGGAUGCCUGCCUAUGUGAAUGUUGCCACCUGAAUCAUCCUUAACCAGUGUUCCCGCAUUUUGCAACAUUGAUGCUGCCCCACCCCCGCCUUUUUUUUUUUUUUUUUUUUUUUUUUUUGCCUAAAUGCAAAACAAAUCCUCAUUUCAUUUUCUUGACCUUUGGUAAGAGAAAUUUGCAUGCCUCUGCUGGUGUACUGGCUUGCUCUGCUAGCAUGAUGUUUUCUGCAUCUUCUUUCCAACUUUUUUUUUUUUCCAGUACUGCGGAUUGAAUCCGGUGCCCUUGUACCGACAUACAUCCCCAGCCCAUUUUUUUUAUUUUGUAAAUUUUGAGACAGGGUCCUAAUAGGUUGUCUGUGUUGGAAUCAAAUUUGUAAUCCUCCUGCUUCAGCUUCUGGAGUGCUGGUAUUACAGAUAAUACACUACCACCAUCAGAAAAUGGUGAGAUCAGAGGGCCGUGGCAUCUCAUUAAAGCACAUCUAUCUGUCCGUUAGGUAAACGUUUGCCCAUUAAUCGGUGCUCCUCAUUCAGAAAGUUGCAGAUCCACCCAGUUGUGCUUACUCCACUGGUUAAAGUUUUUUUUUUUUUUUUUAAUUUUAUUUAAGGAGAAAAGAAAAAAAAAGCAGAGAAAGGGUACAAGUUAUACAGAUUUGCAGAAAAAAAAUGGACAGUAGGAAAUCACUAGUUAAUGGAUUACACAUUGUCAUCUUAGAACCACUGGUUAAAGUUAAAAUUCAGAGUCAGUUAAGUAUGCGACAUACUCAGUAACCCAUGAAACAAAGGAAUGAGAUUGGCUUGGAAAGACUUGGGUUUUUGUUGUUGUUUUGUUUUUGUUUCUUGGUACCAGUGAUCGACCUUGUACUUGCUAGGCAGAUGCUUGUGAAGCUGAGCUAAAUCCCCGGCCCAGAAAGAUUUGAUUUUAGUGAAACCCCAUUUGACUAUAAUCUCAUGCCUUUUUAAGGCCCCCCAAACCAUUGUUUUAUAGCAAUAGCAUUUUAUUUUAAUUCCCACCACAGCUGAGUGAGGUAGACUGAAACUCAUCAAUGCUAGGUAACUAGACCAUGUUUGGACAGCUUUUAAAUGGCAGACCAUGCAUUUGGAUUCAUCUAACUCCAAAGCCUGCAUCCUUAAAUGCCUGUUUCCAUAAUUGCCUGUUUACGCAUUCCUAGAAUUGUGCCCAGGGUUUCCUUUUGGGCUUAUCGGAGCCCUUUAUUUUAAAGUGUUUAUCUGUUGAGGCACAAGAUAAGAGAUGUUGGUUAUGCUGGUAGAUAAGCAGUUCUUUUUUAUUUUAUUUAUUUAUUUUUUUUCUGGACAAGGUCUCACUGUGUAGUUCAGGCUGCCUAUGAGUUCACUGUGUCAUUCAGGCUGUCUUCAACCUCAUGGCAAUCCUCUUGCUGAGGCAGGAGUGGGGGAAUUAUAGGUGUGUGCCACUGUACCCGGCCAUAAGUAGUCCUAAAUUUUCCAGGGUUACACAGAGGCUAGUGACUUCUCAUUUGGAAUAGUUCUAGUUUACUGGAUUAGUUUUAAAAGUUUUAGUUCUCCAUUCCCUGUUCCCUGCAGUUUCUCAGUUUUCUCUAAGUAUGCCUCUGCAUUCAUCUGUAAAGUUGCCAGUACUUAGAGACAUCCAGCUAAGAAGGAAUGAAUGGCCCAUCACAGGAAUGUAUUCAAGCAUAUACGGGACCAACUCGUGGUGUGGAGGUGUGGAGGUGUAGAGCAAAUCACAGGCUGUAUAGAUGGAGGUGAAGCCAGAUGGACUUAGGAGUCCCUUUCAGUCUCAGGAUUCUAUGACUUUAAGAACUGCACUUUUUCCUAAAGUGAAAUUUUUGAGUGCUUUGAACUUUGACCCCGAUAGGCCUUACUUCACUGGACAGUGGAGCAUUGGAGGCCUGGCUUGGGGUUCUGGAGUGAUAAAGGCUUAGAAAAUAUUUCCUUUAGCCAAAAGAUGAUGGUCAUGGUGCCAGGGAUCAUGGGCCCAUUCCAGAGCCUGAGAUCUUCUGUACUAGAGGCUCUUGAUGGCAGGGCCAGGUCCUGACCGUGGAUUCUGGACAGCAGGACAAAAUGCUCUUAGACUUGGGUUGCUUCUGCACAUGGAGGAUCUCAACACUAGGCCAUACUAUGGAAAUAAACAAGAAGCACUUCUUGAAUGAUGGAGUAAAGAUCUUAGAAAACCUACUCCUCCAUGACAGCAGCAAGAACAAUGGAAAAAUAAUCAUUAAAAUCUU
Long non-coding RNA from Cavia porcellus (domestic guinea pig), 2633 nucleotides. RefSeq lists it as uncharacterized. The record is from RefSeq and is a predicted model, not a curated record. Lineage: Eukaryota; Metazoa; Chordata; Mammalia; Rodentia; Caviidae. The transcript has 2 exons.